AUUUUAUGGAGCCGAGUGAAGGGCACUGCGAGCUUAUGUUUAUUUCUAGUAUUAAUAUUAUGAAUUUCACAAUUUUUUCUAAUAUUUACAAUAUUUUUAUGUACAUACAGAAUAUUCUCAUAAAUGUCCCUCCUGUGCACUGUCAUUAUAUCAAUUUCCUUAAAUUUAUCUCUAAGUGAGUCUCUAUGGUUCAUUUUGUAUAUUGCUCGAAUAGCCCUCUUCUGCAGAACAAAAAUGGUAUUUAUCUCUGAAGCACCACCCCACAGUAAAAUACCAUAUGCCAUAAUGCUAUGGAAGUAACUAAAA
This is a long non-coding RNA of Cydia amplana, 306 nucleotides long. RefSeq lists it as uncharacterized. NCBI's taxonomy places the organism in Eukaryota, Metazoa, Arthropoda, Insecta, Lepidoptera, Tortricidae. The transcript has 2 exons. The record is from RefSeq and is a predicted model, not a curated record.